AUUGAACGCUGGCGGCAUGCUUUACACAUGCGAGUCGAACGGUAACAGGCCGCAAGGUGCUGACGAGUGGCGAACGGGUGAGUAAUGCAUCGGAACGUGCCCAGUCGUGGGGGAUAACGCAGCGAAAGCUGCGCUAAUACCGCAUACGAUCUAUGGAUGAAAGCGGGGGACCGUAAGGCCUCGCGCGAUUGGAGCGGCCGAUGUCAGAUUAGGUAGUUGGUGGGGUAAAGGCCCACCAAGCCAACGAUCUGUAGCUGGUCUGAGAGGACGACCAGCCACACUGGGACUGAGACACGGCCCAGACUCCUACGGGAGGCAGCAGUGGGGAAUUUUGGACAAUGGGCGCAAGCCUGAUCCAGCAAUGCCGCGUGCAGGAAGAAGGCCUUCGGGUUGUAAACUGCUUUUGUACGGAACGAAACGGUCUGGGUUAAUACCCCGGGCUAAUGACGGUACCGUAAGAAUAAGCACCGGCUAACUACGUGCCAGCAGCCGCAGUAA
This 498-nucleotide ribosomal RNA is filed under the name uncultured bacterium. RNAcentral describes it as "partial 16S ribosomal RNA". It matches the Rfam family "Bacterial small subunit ribosomal RNA", at positions 29 to 523 of the family's 1533-position model. The record is from RNAcentral.